CAGAGGCAAGUGGAAUUCUGUGUGUAGGGGUAAAAUCCGUUGAUACACAGAGGAACACCAAAAGCGAAGGCAGCUUGCUGGGCAUUUUCUGACACUCAUGGACGAAAGCGUGGGUAGCAAACAGGAUUAGAUACCCUGGUAGUCCACGCCGUAAACUUUGGAUACUAGAUGUUGAGGGACUCGAUCCUUUCAGCGUCGAAGCUAACGCAUUAAGUAUCCCGCCUGGGAAGUACGGUCGCAAGACUAAAACUCAAAGGAAUAGACGGGGACCCACACAAGCGGUGGAGCACCUGGUUUAAUUCGAUAGUGAGCGAGGAACCUUACCUAGGCUUGACAUCCCGAGAAUCCGCUGGAAACAGUGGAGUGCCUUUUGGAACUCGGUGACAGGCGCUGCAUGGUUGUCGUCAGCUCGUGCCUUGAGGUGUUCGGUUAAGUCCGUAAACGAGCGCAACCCUUGUGCUAUGUUGUAUUUUUCAUAGCAGACUGCCGAUUCUAAAUCGGAGGAAGGUAAGGAUGACGUCAAAUCAGCACGGCCCUUAUGCCUAGGGCUACACAGGUGCUACAAUGGUCGGUACAGUGGGAAGCAAUGGAGCAAUCCUGAGCCAACCCCUAAAACCGAUCUCAGUUCGGAUUGAAGGCUGAAACUCGCCUUCAUGAAGUUGGAAUCGCUAGUAACCGCGUAUCAGCAAUGUCGCG
This 696-nucleotide ribosomal RNA is filed under the name uncultured bacterium. RNAcentral describes it as "bacterial SSU rRNA". It matches the Rfam family "Bacterial small subunit ribosomal RNA", at positions 652 to 1361 of the family's 1533-position model. The record is from RNAcentral.